GGGGCAUGUAAAAAUUAUGGAGAAAGAGUAUUGGGGCAUGGAGAUAUAAUAGAUACAAAACUAAGUAUUUAGGUUAGAGCAAAGAGAAGAAGAAGAGGGUCUUCUUCUAGGGUUGCUGUGUUUACCUCUUCUCUUCCUCCAUCUGUGAGUUUUCUGAGAGUGUCUCAUAUCUAAAACUUCUUCUCCUACUUCUCAUCUUUGGAAGAGUCCAAAUCAAGAAGAAGGAGGCAUCUGAUUGACCAUCAAAGAAGGAUCAGCAUAGUAUUGACAUACUGUGCUGAUUUCCAGGAUCAAGACUUCUGAUCGUGAUUCGUGGGCUCAUGUGGAUGACUCUUAGAGGCCGGACAUGUGUGCAGCUCGCAACAUCAUCCUCAAGCCCGGAUUGACAAAGUUAGAACGUCUAACUUGCAAGGUAAUAGAUCUGAUCUAUUAUA
RNAcentral lists this long non-coding RNA (434 nucleotides) under Elaeis guineensis (African oil palm). RNAcentral's name for it is "long non-coding RNA (EGUI_LNC020126)". Lineage: Eukaryota; Viridiplantae; Streptophyta; Magnoliopsida; Arecales; Arecaceae. The record is from RNAcentral.